Molecule: non-coding RNA, 140 nt
Filed under: Paenibacillus rhizosphaerae
Lineage: Bacteria; Bacillati; Bacillota; Bacilli; Caryophanales; Paenibacillaceae
Description: Azaaromatic sequence
Rfam family: azaaromatic riboswitch aptamer (yjdF RNA)
Source: Rfam by way of RNAcentral
AAAGUGGAUCGUAAAAUCACAGCCCGGUCGGUAGUCCGCGGCGCAUGUAGGGAGGCAGAGGGCGAUUCGCCAGCACAGCCUCCCGGAUCACAUGUCAGUAGCCUUCCCCCCUCGGGAUGUCCCUCGGUCCGAUUUAUACA